AAUGAAUGCUUUGGUUCAAAAAAUAAGGUAGUUCCUAUGGAAGAACGAAAAUGAUAAGAUUUUAUUAUUACUGAAAAAUGUAACACAUCAAAUUGAGGACCUAUUUUAGAUAUAGAGAGACAAUACAGCAUAAUGAGGAAUUAAAAUUAAAAGGACUUGAACUAAAAUUAAAAGGUGAUGAGUUAAAGUUGAAAAAAAUUGAAGUGAAUAAAGUAAUUUUCUGUCAAAUAUUGAAGAACAAAAGAUUGCUGGAAUGAACGAAAAAUAUUAACACUAUGCUUCACAAUGUAAUGUAAAUUUUAUGGAAGAAGGAAUGUUUGAAGGUAUAUUAAAAAAAUGUAAAUUAUUUAA
Vanessa tameamea is the source of this 351-nucleotide long non-coding RNA. RefSeq lists it as uncharacterized. The transcript is spliced from 3 exons. Lineage: Eukaryota; Metazoa; Arthropoda; Insecta; Lepidoptera; Nymphalidae. The record is from RefSeq and is a predicted model, not a curated record.